Long non-coding RNA from Brassica rapa (field mustard), 3963 nucleotides. RefSeq lists it as uncharacterized. The record is from RefSeq and is a predicted model, not a curated record. NCBI's taxonomy places the organism in Eukaryota, Viridiplantae, Streptophyta, Magnoliopsida, Brassicales, Brassicaceae.
ACUUACCAGGUAAGUUAGUCCAGUAUCAAUUAAACAAACAUAGAUGUUUAUUCUAACUCAAAAUCAAUGUGCAGAUGUCGUCGGGCAGAUACUCAUAAUACAAAAAAUAAAUCGGUACCACCCAGAACUUAAUACUGAUGCCAUGAUUGGUCUACGGCUGAACAGGUAAGUCUAACACAAUAGGUAAAACGAAAUAAUAAUUCUCUUCAUACAUACACAUCUAUCUCAGGUCGACAAUGGUUAAACUCAUACUGUGCGAUAAGCAAGCAGCAGAUUUUAGCAUCCUAGAAAGCAAGAAAAAUAGGAAAUUUAAAGUUGUCAUCAUCACAAGCAUAAUUCCUAAACUUUUUCAAGGUAAAUAAUUUUAUUAAACACUCAAAAAAUAAUACAGAUCUAAAUUUUUUUUAUCAACACAACAAUAAUAUCCAAUAUUUUCCAUGAAAACUACUACUCAGUUCAUCACCAGCAACAAAUUUCUACUUCAACAAAUCAAUUGACUACAUAAAGCAUUUCAAAGGGCGAAUAAGAGAUCAUGCAAAAGUAUGCAGCAAAGAGUGACUUUAAUUCAUGCAUCAUUCGGAUUAUUAUUCUCUUUCUCACAGAACUUGAUACCUAGAUUUAUUUACAUUUUAAACAAUUUUAUCAUUGUUUUUUUUAAAUCUCUACUUCUAUAUAAAAUCUAAAACUCAACUUCUGGGAAAGAGAAUAAUAAUCCGAAUGAUUCAUGAAUUAAAGUCACUCUUUGAUACAUGCUUUUGCAUGAUCUCUUAUUCGCCCUUUGAAAUGCUUUAUGUAAUCAAUUGAUUUGUUGAAGUAGAAAUUUGUUGCUGGUGAUGAACUGAGUAGUAUUUUGCAUGAAAAAUAUUGGAUAUUAUUGUUCUGUUGAUAAAAAAAAUUUAGAUCUAUUAUUUUUUGACGUGUUUAAUAAAAUUAUUUACCUUAGAAAAGUUUAGGAAUUAUGCUUGUGAUGAUAACAACUUUAAAUUUCCUAUUCUUCUUGCUUUGUAGGAUGCUAAAAUCUGAUGCUUGCUUGUCAAACAGUAUGAGUUUAACCAUUGUCGACCUGAGAUAGAGGUGUAUGUAUGAAGAGAAUUAUUAUUUUUUUUACCUAUUGUGUUAGACUUACAUGUUCAGCCGUAGACCAAUCGUGGCAUCAGUAUUGAGUUCUGGGUGGUAAGGAUUUAUUUUUUGUAUUAUGAGUAUCUACCCGACGACAUCUGCACAUUGAUUUUAAGUUAGAAUAAACAUCCAUGUUUUUUUAAUUGAUACUGGGCUAACUUACUUACCUGGUACGCAGGUGGGUGUAGUGGCUAAGCGCAAUAGAUUUUUGUAAUUCUAAGGAGAGAAAUUGUGAAUUGGAAAUAUUGGACUGAUGUCUGUAACUUUCAAUGUUAUUGUCUUUUGGUCGAUCUGAAUGUAAUAUAACAGUUGGGUCAGUUUCCGAUGUCGUGAAUUAUGUAUGACAGAAAAUCCUGAAAACUCAUAUAUAUCUCCUUCAGUUAAAUUUUUUGGGUCAUUCGGCUGAAUGUUUCCGGUGAGCCGACCUUCUAAUAGUUGUCCCUGAAUGUGAACAAAUUUUGUUGUGCCGAACUAAUUAAGUAAAUAGUGAGUAGUUUAAAUCAAAUAUGGUGGAUUGGAAAAUAUAUAUAUAUAUAUAUAUAUAUAUAUAUAUGUAUAUGUUAAAGUUAAUAAAAGGCUUACGUGGUGAUCGUAGCACAUGAAGUCGAUGCAAAUUUAAGUAUUAUCUGUUUGGUGUUUUCUGAUGUCUCAAACACUUCUUAUACAUACCGUGAUAGGACGCACUGAAAUAUCUUCCUGAAGUUGGUAGAUUCUUUGAGGAAUGUGUUGCAUGUGAGAUGUCACUGUAAGACAUGCAAUUUUAAUUUAUGGCAUACGUUCUUUAGAACUUUACAAAAGAAUCUAUAAAUUGUAAUAAGAUACAUGUAUUUCCAACUAUAAUUAUUACACACAGGGAUAUAUUUUCAAAAUUAAUUUUUUUGGUCCUACGGAAUAUAUAAUAGCCAGACAGUUAAAAUAUAUAUUUCCUCACAAAUUAAUGCUACCAAAACAAAACUUAUAAUUAGUAUUACUGAAAUGUUCUUUUAUUUUUCAUAUAUAUUUAGUUGUCUAUAAUAUUUUAUAAUUACAGAAAAAAAAUAAAUAAUAUUUUACAUAUAUGAUCUCGAGAUUAGAAAGAAAUUAAUUCUUCUUUUUAAUAAAAAAAUAAAAUCAGUAUAUUGAGUUUUUUUUGUUUCAAAAAAAUAUUUAGUUAACCCUAUAUAUAAGAAAAAUAAUAAUAUAAGAAAAACAUAAUUAUAUCUUAAUUAUAUAAUUUUUUUUUAAAUAAUCACAUUGUAAUUGCAUAUCUUAAGAUAUAUUAAAAGUUUAAAAUAAAUUUAACAACAAAUAUCUUUACAUAUCAACAAAAUAAAAAUAAAUUAUUAAUUCAAUAUAUUAUAUUUAUAUUAAUUUUUAAAAAGUUUUUCAUAUAUUAAAAAUUAAUAUUUAGUUAACUAUUAAAUAUUUUAUAAAAUAAAAUAAUUUACUCUAACGGUGUUUGAAUUGAUAAUAUAUGUAUAUACUAUUUAAGUACAAUUAUUAGGCCUGCGAGUGCAAACAAAAGAUCUAUCAUUCAUACAAAGAGAAGGAAUUCAUAUUAUAUUACAGUUGGCUUACCUACAAAACUCUAAUAGUAUAGUUAUUUAACUUUUUAAUAUGAAUUCUAUAUCAUUGACUAUAUAGAUAUAUAUUUUUACUUUUCGUUUUUAUUAAAAGAGUUUCGUAGAUAUAAAUAUAAAAAAAUAUAGUCAAUCUUACAUCUAUGAUUCAUAAAUAUAAAUAUAAAAAUAUUGUAUAUUUAACAUCUAUCUAUGAUUAUAAAGUAAACAAUAAAUAAAUGUUAAACGAAUAUAAUUAUCACAAUUUAUUACUGCAUACCUUCACAUAAAUAUCAAUUUAGAAAGAAUCUUGUUUAAAUAAAUUCGAAAGGGAUAUUAAAUUCUAUGUUAUUCUAAAACUAAUCAAUCCGGUUAUAAUUUUUAUAUUUUAAUAGAAUUUAAAAAAUACAAUAAACAAAAAAAAAAUAUGUCAAAUCAAAUUGCUACUAUUUUCAAGUUUUUUUAAUAAAUACAAUUUUAUACAAAUUUGUACUAAUAAUAUAAUUAACCACCCAGACAGUAUUGUAAGAGAUAAAUAUAUAACAAAAUUUAUUUAUUAAAUUAAGUAGUAAAACUAAGUUUCAUCAAAAUAUAUAUAGCAUUGUUCUAUUAAGCUAUGUAGCUGUUGCAAUGAGACAUGUGAUUUUAAAUAAAACAACUUUUUACGAAAUGGAUUUAUAAUAUUAGCAUCCUAACUUUAUCUAUGGAUUACUUCCGAUUGAACAUUCCAGAGUAACGGCAGAGAUGUCUUAUUUACCUGCAGGUGAUAUGGCUUGGUCAGAGGGUGUGUUGUCCAUUCCUGACUUGCACAGCGAUUCUUACAACCAGCACACUAUCAAUCAAGUAUAUCAAUGCGGAUAGCGCAAGAAGACGGUAUUGAUCGUCUGUCGGCUUAGGCGAGAGAGAGAUAGGGUUUUGAAAGAAUUGUUUUUUUUCCCCAAGAUAUUAGGCAAGAGAUCGAUGAUAUAUCUUUUUAAAGGAAACAUUUGUUAAGCUUGUGAAUGCUGGUUUAUAUCAACUUUCCGUUUCACAUAAAGAUUUAUGGAAAUAUGGGAUUUUGUAAUGAUUUCGUGUUAAUGCUGUGAUCUUGUUUCCAUAAAUACAAAAAUUUACUUAUGAAUGUUGACGUUGGGCAAAUCAUUUGGGAAGCUGUACCUAUUUGUUCUUCUUCUUAACAACAACGCCAAGAACGUGAUAUCAUCGAAGGAUACGGUGUGUUGCCUUUGAUCCAUCGCCAAAAUCAUUCUAAAGUUUCUGUAUGCAUUAUCUAUUCAAAUUUUAAUAACAGAUGAAGACAAGUGUCAUA